Molecule: ribosomal RNA, 497 nt
Filed under: uncultured bacterium
Lineage: Bacteria
Description: bacterial SSU rRNA
Rfam family: Bacterial small subunit ribosomal RNA
Source: RNAcentral
GACGAACGCUGGCGGCGUGCUUAACACAUGCAAGUCGAACGGGACAUUUUAUUUCGGUAAGAUGUCAAGUGGCGAACGGGUGAGUAACACGUGGGCAACCUGCCCUUCAGACGGGGACAACAUUCCGAAAGGAGUGCUAAUACCGGAUACGCCCGCACCUACGCAUGUAGGUGCGGGGAAAGGAUGGCCUCUAUUUAUAAGCUAUCGCUGAAGGAUGGGCCUGCGUCCGAUUAGCUAGUUGGUGAGGUAACGGCCCACCAAGGCGAUGAUCGGUAGCCGGUCUGAGAGGAUGAACGGCCACAUUGGGACUGAGACACGGCCCAGACUCCUACGGGAGGCAGCAGUGGGGAAUCUUCCACAAUGGACGAAAGUCUGAUGGAGCAACGCCGCGUGAGCGAUGAAGGAUUCGGUCUGUAAAACUCUGUUGUUCAUGACGAACGUCUCUGAGGUGAAUAAUCUCAGGGAGUGACGGUAGUGAACGAGGAAGCACGGCUAAC